Molecule: non-coding RNA, 554 nt
Organism: Puma concolor (puma)
Lineage: Eukaryota; Metazoa; Chordata; Mammalia; Carnivora; Felidae
Source: RefSeq, a predicted model, not a curated record
GAUGAGCCCACUGUGUGGAGAGACAUCAUGGGAGUUCUAUCAGGAACAUUCUAGACCCCAGUGUCCUUGAGGGAUGCUGCCUCGGAUCUAGAGAUUGUUGGAAGAAUCCUUAAGGAGAUGGAGCAUUGGUCCUCUCAGGAUGACCUGGGUCCCAGCUGCCCUGGAGGGACCUCUUCAUGAUUAUUUCGGAGUUGAUCAUGGACACUGGCAGAGUGAAGAAUGAUGUCGCCACGUGAACCAUGGCCAGACCUUCUUAUCCUGUUGCCUCAGCACAGCCUGGAGGGACUUUUCUCUCUGCGUGAGCAGGCCAGAGGGAAAGUCCUGGGACCCUGGAGACUUGAGGUCCAGAGCUAGAGACUUCAGCUGGCUCUGCCGCUCCCCCAGCAGGUGUCACACAGCACCUGGGACCAGGAAGACUGGUUCCCUUCCACCUGAGCCAGGUGUCCAGCAGGCUCCACGUGCCCCUGCCUAUUCCUCCGUAACUUUUUACAACCAAGAGUUUUCUGCACUGUGCAUCCUUGUCCUCUCACCCACCCAAUAAAUCUUGAAACUGC